AUGCUGUUCAAAUGUAGGUUCUCCAUUCGCAUCUGGAACACGGUCAAAUCUUGGAUAGGGGCGCUGGAGAUUGACACCGUUGCGUGGUCAGGCGUUUCCUCGGUCUGCGCCUGGUGGGAGGCCACGACUCUCAGGGAAGGGCACAGAAGACGUGCGAUGACCACGCUGCUGAUGUUGGUUGUUUGGGAGAUCUGGAGUGAGAGAAACGCAAGGGUCUUCAGAAACAAGUCCACCUUGCCGUCGCUCAUCAUCGAUCACAUCAAAUGCGUGGCCAAGGAUUGGAUCUCGGCUGGGGCAAAGCAUUUGAGUUAUAUCGUGUCGCGAGAGUAG
This 330-nucleotide ribosomal RNA is filed under the name Triticum aestivum (bread wheat). RNAcentral describes it as "partial small subunit ribosomal RNA". The record is from RNAcentral. Lineage: Eukaryota; Viridiplantae; Streptophyta; Magnoliopsida; Poales; Poaceae.